RNAcentral lists this ribosomal RNA (202 nucleotides) under Citrobacter freundii. RNAcentral's name for it is "partial 23S ribosomal RNA". It matches the Rfam family "Bacterial large subunit ribosomal RNA", at positions 2741 to 2925 of the family's 2925-position model. The record is from RNAcentral. Lineage: Bacteria; Pseudomonadati; Pseudomonadota; Gammaproteobacteria; Enterobacterales; Enterobacteriaceae.
CCCGGUAGCUAAAUGCGGAAGAGAUAAGUGCUGAAAGCAUCUAAGCACGAAACUUGCCCCGAGAUGAGUUCUCCCUGAGACUAUAAGUCUCCUGAAGGAACGUUAAAGACGAUGACGUUGAUAGGUCGGGUGUGUAAGUGUAGCGAUACAUUGAGCUAACCGAUACUAAUGAACCGUGAGGCUUAACCUUACAACGCCGAAG